GAUGAACGCUAGCGGCAGGCCUAACACAUGCAAGUCGAGGGGUAGAAUUAGCUUGCUAAUUUGAGACCGGCGCACGGGUGCGUAACGCGUAUGCAAUCUACCUUGUACAGGGGGAUAGCCCAGAGAAAUUUGGAUUAAUACCCCAUGGUAUAAUUAAUUUGCAUGAAUUGAUUAUUAAAGUUCCAACGGUACAAGAUGAGCAUGCGUCCCAUUAGCUAGUUGGUGUGGUAACGGCAUACCAAGGCGACGAUGGGUAGGGGUCCUGAGAGGGAGAUCCCCCACACUGGUACUGAGACACGGACCAGACUCCUACGGGAGGCAGCAGUGAGGAAUAUUGGUCAAUGGUCGGAAGACUGAACCAGCCAUGCCGCGUGCAGGAAGAAGCAUCUAUGGUGUGUAAACUGCUUUUGUACGGGAAGAAACACUCCUACGUGUAGGAGCUUGACGGUACCGUAAGAAUAAGGAUCGGCUAACUCCGUGCCAGCAGCCGCGGUAAACUCG
This 501-nucleotide ribosomal RNA is filed under the name uncultured bacterium. RNAcentral's name for it is "bacterial SSU rRNA". It matches the Rfam family "Bacterial small subunit ribosomal RNA", at positions 28 to 527 of the family's 1533-position model. The record is from RNAcentral.